Molecule: ribosomal RNA, 206 nt
Filed under: uncultured bacterium
Lineage: Bacteria
Description: partial 16S ribosomal RNA
Rfam family: Bacterial small subunit ribosomal RNA
Source: RNAcentral
CAUGUAGGCGGUUUGGUAAGCCUGACGUGAAAGGCUAUGGCUCAACCAUGGCAUGGCGUUGGGAACUGCUAGACUUGAAUCACGGAGAGGGAGCUGGAAUUCCAGGUGUAGGGGUGAAAUCUGUAGAUAUCUGGAAGAACACCAGUGGCGAAGGCGAGCUCCUGGCCGAUGAUUGACGCUGAGGUGCGAAAGUGUGGGAUCAAACA